RNAcentral lists this transfer RNA (70 nucleotides) under Chelonia mydas (Green sea turtle). It matches the Rfam family "tRNA". Rfam says of the family: Transfer RNA (tRNA) molecules are approximately 80 nucleotides in length. Their secondary structure includes four short double-helical elements and three loops (D, anti-codon, and T loops). The record is from Rfam by way of RNAcentral. Lineage: Eukaryota; Metazoa; Chordata; Testudines; Cheloniidae.
GGCAGGAUGGUCCCGUGGUUAGGACAUUAGCCUGAGACUUGAGAUCUGGGUUCUAUUCCUUGUUCUGCCC